Molecule: ribosomal RNA, 632 nt
Filed under: uncultured Gammaproteobacteria bacterium
Lineage: Bacteria; Pseudomonadati; Pseudomonadota; Gammaproteobacteria
Description: bacterial SSU rRNA
Rfam family: Bacterial small subunit ribosomal RNA
Source: RNAcentral
CUGGCGGAAUGCUUUACACAUGCAAGUCGAGCGGCAGCGCGGGGCAACCUGGCGGCGAGCGGCGAACGGGUGAGUAACACAUCGGAACGUACCCUGUUGUGGGGGAUAGCCCGGCGAAAGCCGGAUUAAUACCGCAUAAGACCUGAGGGUGAAAGCGGGGGACCGCAAGGCCUCGCGCGACAGGAGCGGCCGAUGGCGGAUUAGCUAGUUGGUGGGGUAAAGGCUCACCAAGGCGACGAUCCGUAGCUGGUCUGAGAGGAUGAUCAGCCACACUGGAACUGAGACACGGUCCAGACUCCUACGGGAGGCAGCAGUGGGGAAUUUUGGACAAUGGGGGCAACCCUGAUCCAGCCAUUCCGCGUGAGUGAAGAAGGCCUUCGGGUUGUAAAGCUCUUUCGGCAGGAACGAAACGGUGGGCUCUAACAUAGUCUGCUAAUGACGGUACCUGAAGAAGAAGCACCGGCUAACUACGUGCCAGCAGCCGCGGUAAUACGUAGGGUGCGAGCGUUAAUCGGAAUUACUGGGCGUAAAGCGUGCGCAGGCGGUUUCGUAAGACAGAUGUGAAAUCCCCGGGCUUAAGCUGGGAACUGCGUUUGUGACUGCGAGACUGGAGUGUGGCAGAGGGGGGUGGA